Taeniopygia guttata (zebra finch) is the source of this 1817-nucleotide non-coding RNA. The record is from RefSeq and is a predicted model, not a curated record. NCBI's taxonomy places the organism in Eukaryota, Metazoa, Chordata, Aves, Passeriformes, Estrildidae.
UUCAGUUUUGAAUCUACCUUUUAAAUUCUGUUGGAAAAAGAAACAUACAAUUCCAUUAGGAUUCAAUGAUAGCAGUGCUGAUGUCACAGGCACAGCCCAUAUCCCCUCAGGAAGGACAGGAGCUUCUCCACUGAAAGGCCUGAUGUGCAUUAGUGCAGUGGUUUGUGGGUUGCUGAAAGCUUUUAAAUUACACAUUUCCAGAGUAAGAGGGUAUGCAUGGGGAAAGAGAAAUUGAAAUUAAAAAAAACCAGACAAUACUCCAUCUGGGGGUGCUUGGAGUUGGAGAGCAGGCCAGGGCUGCCUGCAGAGACACAGUGGCAUUUGGAGACACCUACAGGGAUCCUAUUCCAGCUGUGCCCUGUGUGGGGUGAGCGUGGAGCCCGUGUUUGUCACGGGCUCAGGACAGGCCAUGGGAAUCUAAGAGAAGAGGAGCCAGAUCCAAAGCAGGGUCUCUAUGUGUUUCUCCCUCAAAUCCCAUGCUCAGAGGGCAGGCUUGUUGGAGUGUGUGUGUAUUUCAGAUACAGUGAGCUGGAAAAUUACAGUACUGGAGGUUACACAGCUGCAAAUUAGGCAUAAGUAAGAGCGAACUUGAGCAACCAAUUCCUGAAAUUAGCCCCAUUGAAAAGCACUUGAAGACGCAAUUCAGCUGUGGUUUGAGAGCACAAGGACUUCCAGGAAUUAAUCUGAUCUCCCAGCUCUGUCUGGCACCAUGUCAGAGGGAGAGGAGCUGGGACGUGAGCAGGCAUUGAGCUGAAGAGCAGAGCGUGCAGCAAUCGAGCAGCAAAGCAAACAUUUACUGCCUACUUGUCUGCAAAAGGAGUUCUGACACACUCUCCUGCACCUGGGGCUGCCUCAGCACGAGCAGAGCCGUGAAGGAGGCACCAUGACAUUGAUUCUUGGGCAGAGCAAGGAGGCACAUCAAGAAGGAUGUCAAUUCUUUGGCAGAACAAAGCACUGCCACCAGACUGCUUCAGAAGGAUGUAGGAUGUUCAUCACCCCCAAAACUGCCCAGGCCCCUUGUGCACAGGAGCAGCUGAUGGAGGAAUGCACAGCCAGUCCUCAGGAGCUUGCUCCCGUUAUGUCUCACCCGAGAAAAAGAAGAAUCCCCAUCAGACUGGAUGUUUUAGUGGUAUGACAUGACCAGAAGCAAAAUGCCAUAUGUCUUCUGUCUUCAUUGUGAUAAAAGUUGAGGGCAGCAGACAUGGAUUUUUACAAGUUCCUGAUGCUCAAAAAGCCUUGGGAAAUUUAAGAAUAUUAAAAUGAAGCCAAAAGGAAGAGCCAAGUGUGGUUUUCUGUCCACACUUCACUUACUCAGCAUUUCUGUCACUGGGCCAGUGUGGGCUGGGAUCUGCUUCCCCGCAGAGACAAAGGUUUAAGCACUGUGAGGAAGAUACUGAUUUUUUCUUUUUUCCACAUUAACUGAAACAAAACAUAUUUACUUGAGGACAUUUGUGAGGGCUAUAGCAUAUGAAUGGCACCUUCCAUGCCCCAGAGGAGAUGAAUACCUGUUAGAUUAGUCGCUAAGCAGUGUCAGAAGCAAGAAAGAUCUGCAGCCAUUGUUCAAUGAAUUUGAACAAUGAGGAAGAGAGUUUAAAUUUAUAUAAUCUGCUUCAUCUGGGACUAGCUGACUUGACUAACUAGAAGAUGAAACACAUGAAAUGGAAUUCAUAUAGUGGAAUAAGCUUUGCUCAUUUGCUGAGCUGGAAGACAUUUCACAUGGAAAUUUAGGAAAAUGCACAAAAGUAAUUCUUAUGAUUUAAAUUUUUUCCCUAAAAAAGCUGAACAGAAAUAUUCUAAAUAAAUGGUGUGCAAAAUAC